Molecule: long non-coding RNA, 237 nt
Filed under: Phoenix dactylifera (date palm)
Lineage: Eukaryota; Viridiplantae; Streptophyta; Magnoliopsida; Arecales; Arecaceae
Description: long non-coding RNA (PDAC_LNC022786)
Source: RNAcentral
AGAAGGAAAGAUCAUAUGGAACUUAAUCGCAUAAAUCCAUAACUAAAGGAGAGAGAAAGAAUACUAAAUGAAAAGUGAUCCUAAUACUCUCCCCAAUAUGUAUCAUCUGAAAUUUAAAUCUGAAAAUCUUUAUGAUACACCUUGAGGCUUGUUAUUUGGUUAAUAUAUCUUAUGCAUAAAUCAUGAACCAAAUUGCAAUUCAAACAGUUGAUCUUAAGAGCCUCUAACUUAAUGAAA